AGAGUUUGAUCCUGGCUCAGGACGAACGCUGGCGGCGCGCUUAACACAUGCAAGUCGAGCGAGAACCAGGGCUUCGGCCCCGGGGAAAGCUGCGAACGGGUGAGUAACACGUGAGUAAUCCACCCUCGGUACCGGGAUAGCCCGGGGAAACCCGGAUUAAUACCGGAUGGCCCGACAGCCUCUCGAGGCGGUCGGAAAAGGUAGCUUCGGCCUCCGACCGAGGACGAGCUCGCGGCGGAUUAGCUUGUUGGCGGGGUAACGGCCCACCAAGGCGACGAUCCGUAGCUGGUCUGAGAGGACGAUCAGCCACACUGGGACUGAGACACGGCCCAGACUCCUACGGGAGGCAGCAGUGGGGAAUCUUGCGCAAUGGGCGAAAGCCUGACGCAGCGACGCCGCGUGCGGGAAGAAGGCCUUCGGGUUGUAAACCGCUUUCAGGAGGGACGAAGCCACUCGGGUUAAUAGCCCAGAGGGUGACGGUACCUCCAGAAGAAGCCCCGGCUAACUACGUGCCAGCAGCCGCGGUA
This 527-nucleotide ribosomal RNA is filed under the name uncultured Actinomycetes bacterium. RNAcentral's name for it is "bacterial SSU rRNA". It matches the Rfam family "Bacterial small subunit ribosomal RNA", at positions 8 to 522 of the family's 1533-position model. The record is from RNAcentral. Lineage: Bacteria; Bacillati; Actinomycetota; Actinomycetes.